Molecule: ribosomal RNA, 3072 nt
Filed under: Triticum aestivum (bread wheat)
Lineage: Eukaryota; Viridiplantae; Streptophyta; Magnoliopsida; Poales; Poaceae
Description: partial small subunit ribosomal RNA
Source: RNAcentral
AUGGAUCCAUGUGAGAAACUGAAUGUGAGGUUUCAUUUUGGUGGACAAUUUGUUCGAAUUGGGCCUAAUUUGGGCUAUGUUGGGGGGGAUGAGGCAAUGUCAGAAAUAGAGAGGGACAAAUUGUCUUUACCUAGUGAUCACAUGACGUUCAAAGAGAGUAUGCUAGGGUUUCUUGGUGAUCACAUGACGUUCAAAGAGAGUAUGAAACUUUAUUUUCUAUUGCCUGGUAAAGAACUAGUGAAUGGCCUGUUAUUUCUCUGUGAUGAUGUUGGUUGUAUGAAGAUGUCAGAUUACACUAGUGAUCGUGGAGUUGCUGAUGUUUAUGUGGAAUAUUUCGGGGAGCAGGAUAAUGAAAGUGACAGUGAAGACAGUGUUAGUAACUUUGAGGAUGAGAUAGGUAAUGAUGCCGAUGAAGAAAGUAAUGAUGCACCUGACUGUGUUAUUACUGCAGAAGAUGAUAUAAAUGCCAUUGUUCCAAAUACGCAGUUGACUGCAACAACUAAUCAUGUGCUUGUACCAAAUCAGAGAGGAGUAAUAACUGAAGUACUUAGGAGCCCUACAAAACAUAAGUUUCUGAAGAAACAGAGUGAUGAUACAGGGUUGUGCUCUCAAGUUAAUUUAUGUGCAGAUUUCAUAACUGGUAGCUCUCAGGUAAUAGAUGCUGCAUCACAAAGUGGUACUGCUGCAAUCACCGGGGCAAGAACUCAACAGCCAACAAUUCAAGAAGAGGCACUACCCCAAGACAGUGGCUCUGUAUAUUCAGACAGUGAUGCUGAUGAUAGUGAUUAUGUAGCAGGUAGUGAUGACAGUGGACUGGAUGAAGAAUAUGUUGAACUAAGGGAACAAGCAAAGGCCUUUAAAAAGAGAAUUAGAGCCUCCAAGAAGUGGGCUGAAAGUACUCCUUCAGGUGCUGUUCCAAUAGAUCUUGUGGCAAAUGUGGAAGAAGUGAUAGGAGAAGACUACUUUGAAUCAGAUGAUGAGGAUUACUCAUAUGAUGAUCAGACAGAUGAUGAUGGCCAUGUUGUCAGGAGGAAGAGCCAGUUCGUUAGGUAUAAUCCAAAGACAGAGAUUCCUACUUUUUGUUUAGGAAUGGUGUUCAGGAGCAAGAAUCAGAUGAAAAAAGCACUAACAAAAUAUGGACUGGUCACAAAAAGAAGUAUUAUUUUCAUGAAGUCAGAGGAUGAAAGAAUUAGGGCCAAGUGUGGAUGGCCAGGAUGUCCAUGGCUCAUUUAUGGUGCAAAGACAAGCAGGUGUUCCAGAUUUCAGGUUUUAACAUAUGAGAGUGAACAUAUGUGUGCUCCAAAUAGGGACAAUCACCUUGUAACUGCUAAAGUGAUUGCUAGAAGAUAUGAGGAUAUCUUAAGGGCCAACCCCACUUGGAAGAUUGACAACAUUAAAGCCACUGUUUUGAAGGAUUUCUUUGCAGAUGUAUCAACAUCAAAGUGCAAGGCUGCAAAGAAGAUAGUGUCACAGAAGCUUUUACAAGGGAUGAAAGAGGAAUACACUAAGGUCUUUGACUACCAGCUAGAAUUGUUGAGAAGCAAUCCUGGUAGUACCAUUCUUGUAGGAUUGGAUCCUAAAUAUGUGGACCAAAGUAUAUUCCAGAGAUUUUAUGUUUGCUUCGGUGCUAUGAAAAAGGGGUUUAAAGCAUGCAGAAGGGUAAUUGGCCUUGAUGGUUGUUUCUUUAAAGGAGCAUGUCAAGGUGAACUUCUUUGUGCUGUUGGUAGGGAUGCUAACAACCAAAUGUACCCAAUUGCUUGGGCAAUAGUGGAGCAAGAAACAACAAAAAAUUGGGAAUGGUUUAUUGGCCUUCUGAUCAAAGACUUGGACAUAAAUAAUCAAGGUGAAGGCUGGGUGUUCAUUUCAGACCAACAAAAGGGUUUGAUCAGUAGCAUGGAAGACUAUCUACCAAAGGCAGAACACAGGAUGUGUGCUAGACACAUAUAUGCUAAUUGGAGAAAGAAGCAUAGAGAGCAUGCUCUACAGAAGAAAUUCUGGGCUAUAGCAAAGGCUGCAAACAGAGAAGAUUUCAUGUACAGAAAAGCAAAGUUAGCUCAAGACACACCAGAAGGGGCAAGGGACAUAAUGAGAACAGAGCCUAAGCAUUGGGCCAGAGCUUUUUUCCCUGUUGGUUCAAUGUGUGACUCAGUGGACAAUAACCUAUAGGGAUUUGAAGUUAAGCAUGUAAGUGGAAGAGGAAGGAGCUACACUGUAAAUUUGGAGAAGAGAACAUGCUCUUGUGGGCUUUUUGUGGUUAAAUCCAAGGAAUUGGUGCAGUAUCAGGUCAUGGAGGGGAGCAAGGACAUGCAAGAGUCAGACACUGAACCUGUUGUUAAAGUACCCAGAGAGCCUGCCAUCAUUAUCAAUGGUGUCCCAGACUUGCCUCCUGAAUUCGCAUCUGGUUCACAACUUGCAGUAAGAGACGCUCCGCGACCUCGAGUCGAUCAUCGCUUUGGUGAAUGGCUAGAAGGGCGGAAAGUGAGAAAGCGGUUUGGAGACAUAUACUAUGUAGGGAAAGUUGUCAAGUAUGACAGUCAAAGAAAUUGGUACACCGUUGUCUACGACGAUGGAGACCAGGAAGAUCUUGAGUGGCACGAACUGGAGGAGAUCCUGCUACCGUUGGACAUAACCAUUCCGCUCAAAACACUUGUGAUGGACAAAUUCAAACAUCAGAAUGUUGUUCCCGGCUACAGAACUAAGGUGGCUAGAGCAAGAACUAAUGUUGCUAGCAAUCAGGUGGUGGUUAGAGCAGUAAAUGGCCAACAGUCAAACAACCUACCGCUCCCAGGGUUGCUUCAGGCAUCAGCAUCAGCAGGAGAAAAUGCUCUAGUAUGUCUGAAACCUGACGAUCAACCUAAGAAAAGGGGCAGGCCUCGAAAGGAUAGAAGUACAUCAGGUGAGCUUUCAAAACAAGGAAGUACAUCAGGUGAUAUUCAACCUAAAAAAAGAGGCAGGCCUCCAAAAGAACCUGGAGAGAAGAGUAUUGAUAGGCGCAAGUUAGAGACUGUCAGGGCAGAAAAACUGAAGAGAGAAAGCAUGCUUCUGCGAGGGCCACCACCUGGAAGUCAGUAA